RNAcentral lists this ribosomal RNA (2649 nucleotides) under Escherichia coli. RNAcentral's name for it is "bacterial LSU rRNA". It matches the Rfam family "Bacterial large subunit ribosomal RNA". Lineage: Bacteria; Pseudomonadati; Pseudomonadota; Gammaproteobacteria; Enterobacterales; Enterobacteriaceae. The record is from RNAcentral.
ACACUAUCAUUAACUGAAUCCAUAGGUUAAUGAGGCGAACCGGGGGAACUGAAACAUCUAAGUACCCCGAGGAAAAGAAAUCAACCGAGAUUCCCCCAGUAGCGGCGAGCGAACGGGGAGCAGCCCAGAGCCUGAAUCAGUGUGUGUGUUAGUGGAAGCGUCUGGAAAGGCGCGCGAUACAGGGUGACAGCCCCGUACACAAAAAUGCACAUGCUGUGAGCUCGAUGAGUAGGGCGGGACACGUGGUAUCCUGUCUGAAUAUGGGGGGACCAUCCUCCAAGGCUAAAUACUCCUGACUGACCGAUAGUGAACCAGUACCGUGAGGGAAAGGCGAAAAGAACCCCGGCGAGGGGAGUGAAAAAGAACCUGAAACCGUGUACGUACAAGCAGUGGGAGCACGCUUCGGCGUGUGACUGCGUACCUUUUGUAUAAUGGGUCAGCGACUUAUAUUCUGUAGCAAGGUUAACCGAAUAGGGGAGCCGAAGGGAAACCGAGUCUUAACUGGGCGUUAAGUUGCAGGGUAUAGACCCGAAACCCGGUGAUCUAGCCAUGGGCAGGUUGAAGGUUGGGUAACACUAACUGGAGGACCGAACCGACUAAUGUUGAAAAAUUAGCGGAUGACUUGUGGCUGGGGGUGAAAGGCCAAUCAAACCGGGAGAUAGCUGGUUCUCCCCGAAAGCUAUUUAGGUAGCGCCUCGUGAAUUCAUCUCCGGGGGUAGAGCACUGUUUCGGCAAGGGGGUCAUCCCGACUUACCAACCCGAUGCAAACUGCGAAUACCGGAGAAUGUUAUCACGGGAGACACACGGCGGGUGCUAACGUCCGUCGUGAAGAGGGAAACAACCCAGACCGCCAGCUAAGGUCCCAAAGUCAUGGUUAAGUGGGAAACGAUGUGGGAAGGCCCAGACAGCCAGGAUGUUGGCUUAGAAGCAGCCAUCAUUUAAAGAAAGCGUAAUAGCUCACUGGUCGAGUCGGCCUGCGCGGAAGAUGUAACGGGGCUAAACCAUGCACCGAAGCUGCGGCAGCGACACUAUGUGUUGUUGGGUAGGGGAGCGUUCUGUAAGCCUGUGAAGGUGUGCUGUGAGGCAUGCUGGAGGUAUCAGAAGUGCGAAUGCUGACAUAAGUAACGAUAAAGCGGGUGAAAAGCCCGCUCGCCGGAAGACCAAGGGUUCCUGUCCAACGUUAAUCGGGGCAGGGUGAGUCGACCCCUAAGGCGAGGCCGAAAGGCGUAGUCGAUGGGAAACAGGUUAAUAUUCCUGUACUUGGUGUUACUGCGAAGGGGGGACGGAGAAGGCUAUGUUGGCCGGGCGACGGUUGUCCCGGUUUAAGCGUGUAGGCUGGUUUUCCAGGCAAAUCCGGAAAAUCAAGGCUGAGGCGUGAUGACGAGGCACUACGGUGCUGAAGCAACAAAUGCCCUGCUUCCAGGAAAAGCCUCUAAGCAUCAGGUAACAUCAAAUCGUACCCCAAACCGACACAGGUGGUCAGGUAGAGAAUACCAAGGCGCUUGAGAGAACUCGGGUGAAGGAACUAGGCAAAAUGGUGCCGUAACUUCGGGAGAAGGCACGCUGAUAUGUAGGUGAAGUCCCUCGCGGAUGGAGCUGAAAUCAGUCGAAGAUACCAGCUGGCUGCAACUGUUUAUUAAAAACACAGCACUGUGCAAACACGAAAGUGGACGUAUACGGUGUGACGCCUGCCCGGUGCCGGAAGGUUAAUUGAUGGGGUCAGCGCAAGCGAAGCUCUUGAUCGAAGCCCCGGUAAACGGCGGCCGUAACUAUAACGGUCCUAAGGUAGCGAAAUUCCUUGUCGGGUAAGUUCCGACCUGCACGAAUGGCGUAAUGAUGGCCAGGCUGUCUCCACCCGAGACUCAGUGAAAUUGAACUCGCUGUGAAGAUGCAGUGUACCCGCGGCAAGACGGAAAGACCCCGUGAACCUUUACUAUAGCUUGACACUGAACAUUGAGCCUUGAUGUGUAGGAUAGGUGGGAGGCUUUGAAGUGUGGACGCCAGUCUGCAUGGAGCCGACCUUGAAAUACCACCCUUUAAUGUUUGAUGUUCUAACGUUGACCCGUAAUCCGGGUUGCGGACAGUGUCUGGUGGGUAGUUUGACUGGGGCGGUCUCCUCCUAAAGAGUAACGGAGGAGCACGAAGGUUGGCUAAUCCUGGUCGGACAUCAGGAGGUUAGUGCAAUGGCAUAAGCCAGCUUGACUGCGAGCGUGACGGCGCGAGCAGGUGCGAAAGCAGGUCAUAGUGAUCCGGUGGUUCUGAAUGGAAGGGCCAUCGCUCAACGGAUAAAAGGUACUCCGGGGAUAACAGGCUGAUACCGCCCAAGAGUUCAUAUCGACGGCGGUGUUUGGCACCUCGAUGUCGGCUCAUCACAUCCUGGGGCUGAAGUAGGUCCCAAGGGUAUGGCUGUUCGCCAUUUAAAGUGGUACGCGAGCUGGGUUUAGAACGUCGUGAGACAGUUCGGUCCCUAUCUGCCGUGGGCGCUGGAGAACUGAGGGGGGCUGCUCCUAGUACGAGAGGACCGGAGUGGACGCAUCACUGGUGUUCGGGUUGUCAUGCCAAUGGCACUGCCCGGUAGCUAAAUGCGGAAGAGAUAAGUGCUGAAAGCAUCUAAGCACGAAACUUGCCCCGAGAUGAGUUCUCCCUGAC